UACAGAGGGUGCAAGCGUUGUUCGGAUUUACUGGGCGUAAAGAGCGCGCAGGCGGUCGUUCAAGUCGAGUGUGAAAGCCCCCGGCUCAACUGGGGAGGGUCACUCGAUACUGAUCGACUCGAAGGCAGGAGAGGGAAGUGGAAUUCCCGGUGUAGUGGUGAAAUGCGUAGAUAUCGGGAGGAACACCAGUGGCGAAGGCGACUUCCUGGCCUGUUCUUGACGCUGAGGCGCGAAAGCUAGGGGAGCAAACGGG
This 253-nucleotide ribosomal RNA is filed under the name uncultured bacterium. Its description in RNAcentral is "partial 16S ribosomal RNA". It matches the Rfam family "Bacterial small subunit ribosomal RNA", at positions 524 to 776 of the family's 1533-position model. The record is from RNAcentral.